Monopterus albus (swamp eel) is the source of this 417-nucleotide non-coding RNA. The record is from the annotation of a RefSeq genome assembly. NCBI's taxonomy places the organism in Eukaryota, Metazoa, Chordata, Actinopteri, Synbranchiformes, Synbranchidae.
CUGUCAGUCGACACAGCAGGAACCACAACCACCAUGACUCUCAUCACCAUCCUCGUCUGGACGCUGGUCUGCUGCUGUUUUACAGGAUCCAGUGGUCAAGUCACUGUGACUCAGCCUCCUGUGGCAACAACUUCUCCUGGAUCUACAGUCACUCUGACCUGUAAAACCAACCGAGCUGUCGGAACCUGUAGUGGUGCGCAGUGUAUGUUCUGGUAUCAACAGAAAUAUGGGCAGCCUCCAAAGCUCCUAAUAAGACAUGCGAGCACACGUGAAUCAGGAACUCCAGACCGGUUUAGUGGCAGUGGAACAGGCAGUGACUUUUCUUUGACCAUCAGUGGAGUUCAGGCUGAAGAUGCAGCAGUUUACUACUGUCAGAGUGCACAUGUGCAUAGCAGUCCUUGGGUGUUCACACAGUGA